AUUGAACGCUGGCGGCAGGCCUAACACAUGCAAGUCGAGCGGAUGAGGGAGGCUGCCCCUGGAAUUAGCCGCGGAAGGGGGGGGAAAUGCCUGGGAACUGGCCGGGUGUGGGGGGAUAACGUCGGAAAAGGGCGGCUAAUACCCAAUCGGUCCGGGGGGGGAAAGGGGGGGUUCUUGGGCCCCAAGCCUAUCAAUUGGCCUAGGUCGGAUUAGCUAGUUGGUGGGGUAAAGGCCUACCAAGGCGACGAUCCGUAACUGGUCUGAGAGGAUGAUCAGUCACACUGGAACUGAGACACGGUCCAGACUCCUACGGGAGGCAGCAGUGGGGAAUAUUGGACAAUGGGCGAAAGCCUGAUCCAGCCAUGCCGCGUGUGUGAAGAAGGUCUUCGGAUUGUAAAGCACUUUAAGUUGGGAGGAAGGGCAGUAAGUUAAUACCUUGCUGUUUUGACGUUACCAACAGAAUAAGCACCGGCUAACUUCGUG
RNAcentral lists this ribosomal RNA (483 nucleotides) under uncultured bacterium. Its description in RNAcentral is "partial 16S ribosomal RNA". It matches the Rfam family "Bacterial small subunit ribosomal RNA", at positions 29 to 507 of the family's 1533-position model. The record is from RNAcentral.